UACGUAGGGGGCAAGCGUUAUCCGGAUUUACUGGGUGUAAAGGGGGCGCAGACGGCGAUGCAAGCCAGGAGUGAAAGCCCGGGGCCCAACCCCGGGACUGCUCUUGGAACUGCGUGGCUGGAGUGCAGGAGGGGCAGGCGGAAUUCCUGGUGUAGCGGUGAAAUGCGUAGAUAUCAGGAGGAACACCGGUGGCGAAGACGGCCUGCUGGACUGCAACUGACGUUGAGGCCCGAAAGCGUGGGGAGCAAACAGG
This 253-nucleotide ribosomal RNA is filed under the name uncultured bacterium. RNAcentral describes it as "partial 16S ribosomal RNA". It matches the Rfam family "Bacterial small subunit ribosomal RNA", at positions 524 to 776 of the family's 1533-position model. The record is from RNAcentral.